AGAGCGAACGCUGGCGGCAGGCCUAACACAUGCAAGUCGAGCGCGUGUAGCAAUACACGAGCGGCAGACGGGAGAGUAACACGUGGGAACGCGCCCUUUGGUUCGGAAUAACUCAGGGAAACUUGAGCUAAUACCGGAUAAGCCCUUACGGGGAAAGAUUUAUCGCCAAAGGAACGGCCCGCGUCCGAUUAGCUAGUUGGUGAGGUAACGGCUCACCAAGGCGACGAUCGGUAGCUGGUCUGAGAGGAUGACCAGCCUCACUGGGACUGAGACACGGCCCAGACUCCUACGGGAGGCAGCAGUGGGGAAUAUUGGACAAUGGGCGCAAGCCUGAUCCAGCCAUGCCGCGUGGAUGAUGAAGGCCUUAGGGUUGUAAAGUCCUUUUAACGGGGAAGAUAAUGACGGUACCCGUAGAAUAAGCCCCGGCUAACUUCGUGCCAGCAGCCGC
Molecule: ribosomal RNA, 448 nt
Filed under: uncultured bacterium
Lineage: Bacteria
Description: SSU rRNA
Rfam family: Bacterial small subunit ribosomal RNA
Source: RNAcentral